Molecule: ribosomal RNA, 948 nt
Filed under: Coniochaeta krabiensis
Lineage: Eukaryota; Fungi; Ascomycota; Sordariomycetes; Coniochaetales; Coniochaetaceae
Description: SSU rRNA
Rfam family: Eukaryotic small subunit ribosomal RNA
Source: RNAcentral
GUCUAGUAUAAGCAUUAUACCGCGAAACUGCGAAUGGCUCAUUAAAUCAGUUAUCGUUUAUUUGAUAGUACCUUACUACAUGGAUAACCGUGGUAAUUCUAGAGCUAAUACAUGCUAAAAAUCCCGACUUCGGAAGGGAUGUAUUUAUUAGAUUAAAAACCAAUGCCCUUCGGGGCUCUCUGGUGAUUCAUAAUAACUUCUCGAAUCGCACGGCCUUGCGCCGGCGAUGGUUCAUUCAAAUUUCUGCCCUAUCAACUUUCGACGGCUGGGUCUUGGCCAGCCAUGGUGACAACGGGUAACGGAGGGUUAGGGCUCGACCCCGGAGAAGGAGCCUGAGAAACGGCUACUACAUCCAAGGAAGGCAGCAGGCGCGCAAAUUACCCAAUCCCGACUCGGGGAGGUAGUGACAAUAAAUACUGAUACAGGGCUCUUUUGGGUCUUGUAAUUGGAAUGAGUACAAUUUAAAUCCCUUAACGAGGAACAAUUGGAGGGCAAGUCUGGUGCCAGCAGCCGCGGUAAUUCCAGCUCCAAUAGCGUAUAUUAAAGUUGUUGCAGUUAAAAAGCUCGUAGUUGAACCUUGGGCCUGGCUGGCCGGUCCGCCUCACCGCGUGCACUGGUCCGGCCGGGCCUUUCCCUCUGGGGAACCGCAUGCCCUUCACUGGGUGUGUCGGGGAACCAGGACUUUUACUUUGAACAAAUUAGAUCGCUUAAAGAAGGCCUAUGCUCGAAUACAUUAGCAUGGAAUAAUAGAAUAGGACGUGUGGUUCUAUUUUGUUGGUUUCUAGGACCGCCGUAAUGAUUAAUAGGGACAGUCGGGGGCAUCAGUAUUCAAUUGUCAGAGGUGAAAUUCUUGGAUUUAUUGAAGACUAACUACUGCGAAAGCAUUUGCCAAGGAUGUUUUCAUUAAUCAGGAACGAAAGUUAUGGGAUCGAAGACGAUCAGAUACCG